UUUAACGGCCGCGGUAUUUUGACCGUGCAAAGGUAGCAUAAUCAUUAGUCUUUUAAUAGAGGGCUGGAAUGAAAGGUUUGACGAGGUAUUAGCUGUCUCAUUUUGAUGAUUUUAAAAUUUAAUUUUUAAGUUAAAAAGCUUAGAUAUUUUUGGAAGACGAGAAGACCCUAUAGAGCUUUAUGGUUAUAUCUUGUAAUAUUUUUGGUUUAAUUUGAAUUAUAUUAUUCUGUAUGACUUUUUUGUUGGGGUGACAAGAAAUAUAUAUUUAACUUUUAUUAUUUAUAGAACACUUAUUUGUGAUUAUUAGAUCCUUUUUUAUUGAUUAUUAGAUUAAGUUACCUUAGGGAUAACAGCGUAAUCCCCUUUUGGAGUUCUUAUUUACAAGGGGGCUUGCGACC
RNAcentral lists this ribosomal RNA (398 nucleotides) under Hypolestes clara. Its description in RNAcentral is "partial 16S ribosomal RNA". It matches the Rfam family "Archaeal large subunit ribosomal RNA", at positions 2000 to 2594 of the family's 2987-position model. The record is from RNAcentral. Lineage: Eukaryota; Metazoa; Arthropoda; Insecta; Odonata; Megapodagrionidae.